Long non-coding RNA from Mus caroli (Ryukyu mouse), 786 nucleotides. RefSeq lists it as uncharacterized. The record is from RefSeq and is a predicted model, not a curated record. Lineage: Eukaryota; Metazoa; Chordata; Mammalia; Rodentia; Muridae.
CGGCGGGUGCGGGGGCGCAGCAGCCCUGGCCAAGCCCAGAGACCGGAGGACACCCCCCUCCCAGCGCUCUAACAUGGGUAACUUCCCGCUGCCCGGGACGGAGUUUCUCCGUUGCCCACGGACAUCCAGGAGGCCGUGUGGAGGGCAAGCAGGGUAACCCCCACUCCUAAACCACAUCUAUCCAAGGGGAGCCCGAGGAGCCAGCAGGUCCGGACACUCUGAGGAGGCUCCUCGUGGGGCCUCCCACGCACAGGUGCUGAGCUGGGCCAGCGGGUAUCUCCAGGCAGCCUCUGCUAAUGAGCUCUUAGCAGGACAGAGGAGGAGACAGAUUCCAGCUGCCCCCGCAUGCCAGAGCACACAACCGCUCUGUUCCUUACAAGCCUGCCAGGUCCCGGCUCUGCUUCCCUGUCCCCAUCUGCAGUCGCGCAAGCAAGCCCCAGCCCUGGAGGGACUGCACCCAGCAACCUUCCCACAGCUGUCUCCUUUGGAUCUUUUUGCGGUCUGGGCUUGCUGUUCUCUCAAUAGUAGUCAGGAAGCCCUUACCCCAAAAAGUAUCUACGGGAGGCUUGGUCUACAGGGGAGACCCCCAAGGGCUCCAGGUGAGUCACACCAAACCCAAGACUACCAUGUGGAUCCAGGGCAUCUUUGCCAUACCUUAGUAUUGCUGGGUGACCAUGGGUCAAGCCCUAAGCCUUAAGUUGGCAAUCUUCCUAAUGCUGUGACCCUUUAAUACAAUUCCUGAUCUUGUGGUGUCCCCAGCCAUAAUAUUGUUUUGUUGCUACUUUG